UUUGGCAGCACCUUCCAGGCUUUG
RNAcentral lists this unclassified non-coding RNA (24 nucleotides) under Mus musculus (house mouse). RNAcentral describes it as "oocyte_clustered_small_RNA4488". The record is from RNAcentral. Lineage: Eukaryota; Metazoa; Chordata; Mammalia; Rodentia; Muridae.